UCGAUCUCGAUGCUCACGAGUUGACUUGAAUUAUGCGAAAUUCUGUUGGUUUGAGCUUGAAUUUUGCUGAAAUAUGGUUAAACUUACGAAUCUCUCUGCAAUUUCGUUGACAGAUCUAUCGAGUCCGUUUGUUUCGGUGAUUUCUUCAGUAAAUCUCGUCGAACUGGAGAAUUAUCUGAAUUCUAAGCUCAAUUUCUCUUCCACAAGCGACGGAGAAGAGAAACAUCUGUUGAAUUCUCAGAUCUAAGUUGCUAGCUACAGAAUUCUCUAUAAUUUUAAAUUUGCGUCCGAGAUAAUCGUGAUAAUUCACCGCGCAUAGAGUUAUUUUGAAAAAAAAGUUAUCCAAGAACCGUUGAAGCUGUCGUUGUUCAUGGAGCUUCCUCAACCUCGUCCCUUCAAAGCUCAAGGUAACACACAUAGCCCUAAUUUUAAAAUAAAUAAAAAGGAAGAGUUUAAUUUUUAUAUUAUUCAACUUCCAAUAGGAUUAUUAUUAUUAUUAUUA
This 502-nucleotide long non-coding RNA is filed under the name Brassica napus (rape). Its description in RNAcentral is "long non-coding RNA (BNAP_LNC007488)". The record is from RNAcentral. Lineage: Eukaryota; Viridiplantae; Streptophyta; Magnoliopsida; Brassicales; Brassicaceae.